GGGAACUACAACGUUCCUUUCCCGAUACUCUGCGCCCCCAUCAUCCGCCAACUCCGUUGCUCUCCAAUGGCCGAGCACCGACCUUGUUGACAGAAAAGAGAAGGUGGCUACUACUGUUGAUGGAGGGCAUGGUUUCCAUGUGAUGAUGAACUCCAUGGAAAUUCAUGAUUCUUAGAUAGAUCACAGGGGGUAAAAACCGUAUUGCCAAAUGGAGAGAUGGCAAUAUCAUCACGUGAAUGAUGCUCUAUCUAUGGAGUGAAAGAGGGUCGAAUCUUAUACACUAAAGGCGAAAUUCUCUCGUCCUAAGAGUUCCCCACCUCGGACUGAAAGGAUAGUGAAAGAAUAAAUCAUGGUGAUUCAAUUUCUUUUUAAGUGGGAGGAAUCGUACCUGGUGCUUAUAAGGAGCCUACCAUAUUAAGUGUAAUUUCUACAUUGUGACAAUUAGAGUUUGAUUCUGUCUUCAAUCAUUGUUGUGUGGACCAUAACAAAGACGGUUCACAAUCUAGUACUUGAGGAUUAUGAUUUAGGUUUCUUAAUCAUGAUAUACUAACCGGGCCUUUGAUUCUAAGAAAUAUAAAUAUAAUAUAAUGGCCUUAGUAUGGGCUGUGGA
Long non-coding RNA from Ipomoea triloba (trilobed morning glory), 610 nucleotides. RefSeq lists it as uncharacterized. NCBI's taxonomy places the organism in Eukaryota, Viridiplantae, Streptophyta, Magnoliopsida, Solanales, Convolvulaceae. The record is from RefSeq and is a predicted model, not a curated record. The transcript has 3 exons.